GGCACCAAUUGAGUUAAUAUGUAGUACAAUUUAGCUAAAAUACUGUAUCACAUGUGUUUUCCCCCUAGGUAUCUCAUUCCAGCCCUGGUUCUCCUGGCAGUCCUUCCUUUUACCUGUUACGUUGGUCUCUUCAUUUCACACCGAUCCUUGCAUAUCCAUGCCGAUUGGUUCCUAAAGUCUCACAAAGCAGAGCUGUGGCUCAUCCGAAUUCUGGUGCAAAAUGGGAUUGCACUAUACGCGACAUGGACCACAAUUGCCACUCUGCUGAAUUUUACUGUGGUGCUGAUCUUCAGUGGGAACGUGUCUAAAAAGAUUGCAACUGCAACCUCUCUGGCCAUCCUUACCUUUGAACUGGUAAUAUGGUUUUCUCUGGAAAACUUUGUGCUUGACAAGUAUGUGCGGUAUAAUCUCACUGUCUACCCAGUGGUCAUUGUAGCACUGACCGGCAUUGUGUGGAAGAACUACUCCCCUUCAUCUCCAACUGACAACAGUAUGUUUACAGUUGUGUUGCUGGCGGUGGCUUGUGUUACCUUUGCUGUUCGGCUGGGAAUAGUCAUAUGGAGACAUUGUAGAAGGCCUCUAAACCUAUCAGAUUCUCCAUCCAUGACACUGUAAAGUAUAUUUCCAAAGUGAAGACCUUAAGGGGGAGAUUUUCAAAGCCAUGAAUGGGAAUCAGGCACCCAACAGCCAUUGACUCUGUAUCCCAACACCCACUCCCCUGGUGCCUUGAAAAUCUCUGAAAUGUGGAACAGUGAACAACACAAAGAGGGUAAUAAGGUGGUUAUAGUGAUUUCGUAUAAGCUUUCAGGGUCUCUUUCUUUUUCAGGAUCUCUCUUUCCUUCCACUCUGAUCAAUUACACUUAUCCUACCACCUUUAAUUUGACCGCUAUGUGGUUUAUUAAAUGGUGUUUUAAGUUUACACCAGAGAGGUAGAUGAACAGAUUCCUCUGACAAAGCCUAAUGCACUUCUGGAUAAAUGGACAGUAGCACUCAGGUACGUCCAGCCUGAGGCAGGCCCAUGAACACAGUUGCCACACUUGCACUUUUGCACAGAGACGUUAUCUUUUCCUGUUUAAAAAAUGGCUGUAAAUAAGCAACCCCUCUCUGGUGACUGAGAUGCAUAAACCAAUGGCUCUCUCGCUUCACUGGCCCAGACCUUUGGCCUGGUUUUUGUCAGUGCUGAUCCUCUGCAAGUCCCAUUGAAGUCAGUGAGUGCUCAGCACCUCUAAAAAUCAGGCCAUUGUGCCCCUUUCUAGCUCUCUCCACCAUGGCAAGAGCAAAGUUGCAGUAGUGCGAUAUUUUUAUUUUUGCAGCAUCUGUUUUAACAUUCUGCAUCAAGUGUGUUGGAGUGGUUACAACUACUGGUUAAUUAUUGUUACUCACACCUUCUUGUCAGCUGUUGGAAAUGGGCCAUCCUGAUUAUCACCACAAAAGUUUUUUUUCUCCUGCUGAUAAUAGCCCACCUUAAUUGAUUAGUCUCAUUAUAGUUGGUAUGGCAACACCCAUUUUUUCAUGUUCUCUGUGUAUAUAUAUCUUUCUACUGUAUUUUCCACUGCAUGCAUCUGAUGAAGUGGGUUUUAGCCCACAAAAGCUUAUGCUCAAAUAAAUGUGUUAGUCUCUAAGGUGCCA
Molecule: long non-coding RNA, 1629 nt
Filed under: Gopherus agassizii (Agassiz's desert tortoise)
Lineage: Eukaryota; Metazoa; Chordata; Testudines; Testudinidae
Description: lncRNA (ENSGAGG00000002871.1)
Source: RNAcentral